CAGCUCCCGGCCCGGGCAUCCGGGGCCCGGCCGAUCCCGGGCCGGGCCGGGGCCGGUCCGCUCCGGGGCCGGCUGUCCAAGCCCCGCCGGGGCUGA
RNAcentral lists this transfer RNA (96 nucleotides) under Streptomyces humidus. Its description in RNAcentral is "tRNA-Gly". Lineage: Bacteria; Bacillati; Actinomycetota; Actinomycetes; Kitasatosporales; Streptomycetaceae. The record is from RNAcentral.